CCGGAUUUACUGGGCGUAAAGGGUGAGUAGGCGGUUAUAUAUGUCAGGUGUAAAAGAUCAUGGCUCAACCAUGGUUGGCACUUGAAACUGUAUGACUUGAGUGCAGGAGAGGUAAGCGGAAUUCCUAGUGUAGCGGUGAAAUGCGUAGAUAUUAGGAGGAACACCAGUGGCGAAGGCGGCUUACUGGACUGUAACUGACGCUGAGACACGAAAGCGUGGGUAGCAAACAGGAUUAGAUACCCUGGUAGUCCACGCUGUAAACGAUGAGUGCUAGGUGUUGGGUAGCGAUAUUCAGUGCCGGAGUAAACACAAUAAGCACUCCGCCUGGGGAGUACGUACGCAAGUAUGAAACUCAAAAGAAUUGACGGGGACCCGCACAAGCAGCGGAGCAUGUGGUUUAAUUCGAAGCAACGCGAAGAACCUUACCAAGGCUUGACAUCCCCUUGACCAGUGCAGAGAUGUACUCUCUUCUUCGGAAGCAAGGGAGACAGGUGGUGCAUGGUUGUCGUCAGCUCGUGUCGUGAGAUGUUGGGUUAAGUCCCGCAACGAGCGCAACCCUUAUCCUUAGUUGCCAGCAUAUAAGGGUGGGCACUCUAAGGGAGACUGCCUGUGAUAAACCGGAGGAAGGUGGGGAUGACGUCAAAUCAUCAUGCCCCUUAUGUCUUGGGCUACACACGUGCUACAAUGGUCGGGUACAACGGGGAGCGAAGGAGUGAUCCGGAGCAAAUCCCAAUAAACCGAUCCCAGUUCGGGAUUGCAGGCUGCAACUCGCCUGCAUGAAGUCGGAGUUGCUAGUAAUCGCGAAUCAGC
This 810-nucleotide ribosomal RNA is filed under the name uncultured bacterium. Its description in RNAcentral is "bacterial SSU rRNA". It matches the Rfam family "Bacterial small subunit ribosomal RNA", at positions 545 to 1353 of the family's 1533-position model. The record is from RNAcentral.